UAAAUAGAGGAGCGGGCGAGCAAAAGUACCCCGCCGCAAAAGCAAAAUGAGGAAGAUUUUGUGGCCGAAAGGCCGGCGGCGUACGGGAAAGGGCAUCUCCGCCGAAGUGCGGUUUCUUCCCCCGCGCUGGGCAUACGGGAGAAUACCCGCAUGACUGUCACCGUCCGUGAAGCGCUAUUU
This 180-nucleotide non-coding RNA is filed under the name human gut metagenome. RNAcentral's name for it is "Lysine riboswitch". It matches the Rfam family "Lysine riboswitch aptamer". Rfam says of the family: Riboswitches are metabolite binding domains within certain messenger RNAs that serve as precision sensors for their corresponding targets. The record is from RNAcentral.